This 464-nucleotide ribosomal RNA is filed under the name uncultured Klebsiella sp. Its description in RNAcentral is "bacterial SSU rRNA". It matches the Rfam family "Bacterial small subunit ribosomal RNA", at positions 339 to 795 of the family's 1533-position model. The record is from RNAcentral. Lineage: Bacteria; Pseudomonadati; Pseudomonadota; Gammaproteobacteria; Enterobacterales; Enterobacteriaceae.
CUACGGGAGGCUGCAGUAGGGAAUCUUCCGCAAUGGGCGCAAGCCUGAUGCAGCCAUGCCGCGUGUGUGAAGAAGGCCUUCGGGUUGUAAAGCACUUUCAGCGGGGAGGAAGGCGGUGAGGUUAAUAACCUCAUCGAUUGACGUUACCCGCAGAAGAAGCACCGGCUAACUCCGUGCCAGCAGCCGCGGUAAUACGGAGGGUGCAAGCGUUAAUCGGAAUUACUGGGCGUAAAGCGCACGCAGGCGGUCUGUCAAGUCGGAUGUGAAAUCCCCGGGCUCAACCUGGGAACUGCAUUCGAAACUGGCAGGCUAGAGUCUUGUAGAGGGGGGUAGAAUUCCAGGUGUAGCGGUGAAAUGCGUAGAGAUCUGGAGGAAUACCGGUGGCGAAGGCGGCCCCCUGGACAAAGACUGACGCUCAGGUGCGAAAGCGUGGGGAGCAAACAGGAUUAGAUACCCGAGUAGUC